AACGCAUAUUGCGCUCUCUGGUAUUCCGGAGAGCAUGCUUGUUUGAGUAUCAGUAAACACCUCAACUUCCAUAUCUUUUUUGAAAUGGGAGUUGGACUUGAGUGAUCCCAACGCUUUUCCUCACCGAAAAGUGGCGGGUUACUUGAAAUGCAGGUGCAGCUGGACUUUUCUCUGAGCUAUAAGCAUAUCUAUUUAGUCUGCCUAAAAAACAGAUUAUUACCUUUGCUGCAGCUAACAUAAAGGAGAUUAGUUCUUGUGCUGACUGAUGCAGGAUUCACAAAGACAGGCUUCGGCCGACUUUGUAAACUCGAUCUCAAAUCAAGUAAGACUACCCGCUGAACUUAA
This 345-nucleotide unclassified non-coding RNA is filed under the name uncultured fungus. RNAcentral describes it as "sequence contains ITS2". The stretch from base 1 to 52 matches the Rfam family "5.8S ribosomal RNA", at positions 103 to 154 of the family's 154-position model. Lineage: Eukaryota; Fungi. The record is from RNAcentral. RNAcentral also lists the same sequence under 1 other name.